RNAcentral lists this long non-coding RNA (770 nucleotides) under Homo sapiens (human). Its description in RNAcentral is "HSALNT0388507". Lineage: Eukaryota; Metazoa; Chordata; Mammalia; Primates; Hominidae. The record is from RNAcentral.
AACUGCCUGUUUACUUGUCUUUCUUCCUUAGAGGGCCAGGCCCUAAAAGCCUAGGAUUAUAGCAAAUUUCUUGCUGUAUCUCCAACUUUCAUCAUGGAUCUUAGAAUACAGUGGCCUUCAAGUAAGUGUUCAUGAGAUGAAUAAAUGAGAAAGAGAGAGAAGACAAAAAGAAACUGAACAACAAAAGGAAAAAGAAAGCUUCAUACAACCCUCGGCACACAGCAGGUGUCCUGAUGACAUAGAACAGGAUGAGUACUGAAACCACAAGGCUAAAAUGAAGGGAGGCAUGAGGGAUGUCAAGGCCCAAGCCACUGAAGCCUGGUGGGUGCUGGCCAGACAUUCUCAGUGCCAUUCAAGUCCCUUCACGUGGUAACUUUCCCACAGCUGAGGGUCAACCAUGAGUGGCCAGCGCUCACAGUUGAUGAGAAUGGUGGCAUUCUCCACGGACAUGCGGUCGGCUGGGAGGCCCUCGUUCUGCCAGGCAGCCACGUCAGCAUCAUCCAUCAGCAUCCUCAGGGGAUCCAGGGCUGGGGUGACUGGAAUGGGAGUCUGGUGAAGAAGAAACACCACCCCACGCUCAGAACAGAAGCAGACAUUCUCAGCUGGGAUGAAUGCAGUUACUCACCAAAUGACACAACUCCUUUAAAAGCAAGAUCAACAUCCCACUGAAGAAUGCCUUUCUGGCUGUGUGAUUAUUUCUGGAAGCAGGUUCUAUUAAAGUCCUGAUAGCUUUUUUUUUUCCCCUCCAUGGAUGAAUAACUGCAGAAAUU